This 261-nucleotide ribosomal RNA is filed under the name uncultured bacterium. Its description in RNAcentral is "partial 16S ribosomal RNA". It matches the Rfam family "Bacterial small subunit ribosomal RNA", at positions 524 to 784 of the family's 1533-position model. The record is from RNAcentral.
UACGUAGGGACCGAGCGUUAUCCGGAUUUAUUGGGCGUAAAGCGCGCGUAGGCGGCCACACACGUCGGCUGUGAAAGCUCGGAGCUCAACUCUGAGAGGCCUUCCGAUACGGUGUGGCUAGAGGUAGGUAGGGGAGAGCGGAAUUCCCGGUGUAGCGGUGGAAUGCGCAGAUAUCGGGAAGAACACCCAUGGCGAAGGCAGCUCUCUGGGACGGUACUGACGCUGAGACGCGAAAGCGUGGGGAGCGAACAGGAUUAGAUA